GUCUCUGGACCUUAUCCCGCUCUUAGACCAGCACUACACUCAUCAUUAUAGAAGAGAUGGAUAAAUAUAAAAAUACUUCUUCAUUUGGAUCAGGUUUAAUAAGCAAUGGAGUAGAAUUGAGGUAAUUCUUUAAGUCAGCAAAGGUGCUCUGACACUCAUCCAUCCAUCGAAAGUCCUUUGGUCAUCUCAGGAUCUGGUAGAAGGGCAG
Molecule: long non-coding RNA, 208 nt
Filed under: Elaeis guineensis (African oil palm)
Lineage: Eukaryota; Viridiplantae; Streptophyta; Magnoliopsida; Arecales; Arecaceae
Description: long non-coding RNA (EGUI_LNC067987)
Source: RNAcentral